Molecule: non-coding RNA, 54 nt
Organism: Xenorhabdus cabanillasii JM26
Lineage: Bacteria; Pseudomonadati; Pseudomonadota; Gammaproteobacteria; Enterobacterales; Morganellaceae
Source: Rfam
CGUGUGGUGUCUGGCGGCGAUAGGGCUGGAUAGCGACGCGACCUUAACAGAGGU